UGCCUCCCCCCCCAGCCCGGGGCGCACUCGCACUGGUCCGGCCGCACGCAGACGCCUCCGUUCUGGCAGGGCUUGGCGCAGAUGGCUGCGGGCGCAGGACGUGGGAUUCAGAACCGGGCAGACUGCUGGCUCUCCAGCCCGGCGGGGCGAACCUCCCACGAGGCCUAGGAGGAUCCAACCUCACCUUCAUCACAGGUGGCGGAAGCUGUACGAGCUGUCAAAGAGCCCAUGCACCACGAUGACCGGCUUGUAGGAAACCCGGUGGGGCGCGGGGGCUGCCGGCAGUAGCAGCAACAGCAGGAAUGGCAACAGAAGCAGGAAUCCCGCCGGUGGGAGCCGCAGCCCUUGGAGCCCCAGCAUGCUGCCGCCUGAGAAGAGGGCGAUGAGGGCCUGUGAGAGAGAUGACAACACCCCCUUCCCUACGGAACAGACGCCGGCAAUCCAGCAUCCAUCGCCCGUUCCCAUGCUAGGUCCUAGUCGCAAAAUAUUUUUCACUCCAGUCCUCUCCCCACAAACACCCCCCCCUACAACGUAGUAGACGCACCAAUGCGCAGCCAAGCCCCGCCCCCAACUCAGCGGGGACUCGGUCCCUAGGCCCAGGGUCUUCCUAAAGCAUCGUCCCAGCCGUACAAGACCGAGGUUUUGCAAAAGAGACCCCAGAGCAGCAGCGCGGGACCCCAGGAGGGUGCAAACUCCCACCUGGCCUGGGUCCUUGAGCCUCUCUCCGCCCGCUGUUUACCUCCCCCUAGCUUGGAACGCACGUGGGGGAGGGGAAGGGUGUAAGGAGACCGCGCGCAGGGGAAUGACGGAUGGGAGAGGGGUGGCUGCUCGGGGUCGCGCUUAGCCGUCACGUCCGGGGCUUUCCCUAGCAACCGUACAAGCGUCCCCCGCAACGCAGGCCCGAGACAGGAGGGGCAAUGGGACAAUCCAUUGCGCCCUAAGAGCGGGGGGGGGGAAUAGGUGGAGCGAACCAUUUAGACUGGUGGGGAGAGAAAGAAGCGGCGAACAUGCUGGGAAUUGAGAGAAGGCCUCUUUGGGCCCUGCGGCAGCAGCGACCUAAGGAUCCCAUUUCCCGGCCUUGAUUAGCCCUAGUUCCCAAAUUCAGGCGUCCGGCUGCGCAUCAGAACACGAAGUUCUCUUUCCCCAGGGAGGCGCUGGGGGAACAGGCUGGAGGAGCAGUCCGCAUUUCGCGGUCCGCCAGUUGACGGCUGGUUAGCCCAGGCAGACCCAGCCCCCAGCCCCUUCCCACCCGCCCCAGGUCUGCGUCUUACAACUCUUCAUCCUGAAGUGCUUGUAGCGCCCUUGUCUCCAGAGACGAGGAGAGUCCUCGAGGCCUCUCGGGGUAAAGUGUGGCUUGGCUCAGGUUCUCCUACCCUACUCCACUCCGCUGCCCCUCUACGACCCACCCCCCAAGGGGCGGAGGGCCCCCGGGGCAGCUCUGACUCAAGCUCGCGUGGUUUUCGGACCAGUCUUUCAACUUGAGCGACCCCCAAACCUCGCCCUGGACUUGGAGCUCUUUGUGGGCGGCUCCUUACUCAGACCCUCCCACUCGGUCCGGACUUCUGAACUCCAGGCGUCCUGCACCUUUGCCCCUGUAGCCCCGCCCGAUACCCAGGUGCCGGGUUAGGGCUUUUACUUAGCAUUUAAAGACUUUUUCCUUGAUAAAAAGAAUUUCGCAGCUCCUCUGAA
This is a long non-coding RNA of Phacochoerus africanus (Common warthog), 1689 nucleotides long. RefSeq lists it as uncharacterized. NCBI's taxonomy places the organism in Eukaryota, Metazoa, Chordata, Mammalia, Artiodactyla, Suidae. The record is from RefSeq and is a predicted model, not a curated record. The transcript has 2 exons.